This 402-nucleotide ribosomal RNA is filed under the name uncultured bacterium. Its description in RNAcentral is "bacterial SSU rRNA". It matches the Rfam family "Bacterial small subunit ribosomal RNA", at positions 355 to 774 of the family's 1533-position model. The record is from RNAcentral.
UCGGGAAUUUUGGGCAAUGGGCGAAAGCCUGACCCAGCAACGCCGCGUGAGGGAUGAAGUAUUUCGGUAUGUAAACCUCGAAAGAAUGGGAAGAAUAAAUGACGGUACCAUUUAUAAGCCCCGGCUAACUACGUGCCAGCAGCCGCGGUAAUACGUAGGGAGCAAGCGUUGUUCGGAUUUACUGGGCGUAAAGGGCGCGUAGGCGGCGCGGUAAGUCACUUGUGAAAUCUCUGAGCUUAACUCAGAACGGCCAAGUGAUACUGCUGUGCUAGAGUGCGGAAGAGGCAACCGGAAUUCUUGGUGUAGCGGUGAAAUGCGUAGAUAUCAAGAGGAACACCUGAGGCGAAGGCGGGUUGCUGAGCCGACACUGACGCUGAUGCGCGAAAGCCAGGGGAGCAAACG